This 74-nucleotide transfer RNA is filed under the name Coeloseira compressa. RNAcentral describes it as "tRNA-Arg". It matches the Rfam family "tRNA". From Rfam's summary of the family: Transfer RNA (tRNA) molecules are approximately 80 nucleotides in length. The record is from RNAcentral. Lineage: Eukaryota; Rhodophyta; Florideophyceae; Rhodymeniales; Champiaceae.
GCGUUUUUAGUUUAAUUGGAUAAAACACUAAUCUUCUAAGUUAGGUAAUGAAGGUUCAAAUCCUUCUAAACGCA